GACAGGGAAAAAAAAAAAAAAAAAGAGAGAGGAGAGAGAGACAGAGAAUGCAAGUACAAAAGAAACCAACCGACUCCCAUCGACGGACAAAAAUCCAACUGCCAUCAGCACCCACCACCACACCACAACAACAACCACCGUCGUUACAACCAGUAAACGCCGCCGUUUCGUACACUCGUCGUUAUCGGCCCAAUUUCUCCCUCCCUUUGCCGGCUGUACAAUAUUUUGACUCACUGGAUGAAGAGCCACGCCAACUAUAAUAAGCCCAACGGAAAUUGCACGACCACCACCACCACCAACCAAAACAACCGCCGCCAUGGCAAUGGCUUUUUUCCUACUUCUUUGAAAUUCAUCUCCUCCUGUCUCAAAACCGCCUCCUCUGGUGUCCGCUCUGCCUCCGCUUCCAUCUCCACUGAUAGCCCAGACCACAAAGCCCAGGUAUUAUGGGCUGGCUUUGACAGAUUAGAGCUUGGUCUCUCUGCCUUUAAAUGUGUUCUCCUGCUCGGUUAUUCCAAUGGCUUUCAAGUCCUUGAUGUUGACAAUGCCUCUAACUUCAGUGAACUUGUUUUGAAGCGAGAUGACCCUGUUACAUUUUUACAAAUGCAGCCCCUCCCUACAAAGUCUGAGGGUCGUGAAGGAUUCAGACCAUUGCAUCCUUUACUAUUGGUAGUUGCAUGUGAUGAAUCAAAGAGCUCUGGUCUGAUGCAAAGUGCAAGAGAUGGGUUGGUCAGGGAUGGUUUUACCGAACCAAAAACAGGAGCCCUCUCUCCUAAUGCUGUUCGGUUUUACUCACUAAGGUCUCACAUUUAUGUUCAUGUCCUGAGAUUCAGGUCGACUGUGUACAUGGUUAGAUGCAGUCCUCAAAUAGUGGCUGUCGGCCUUGCAACACAAAUAUACUGCUUCGACGCACUCACGCUUGAGAAUAAAUUCAGUGUCCUUACCUAUCCUGUCCCUCAAUUGGGAAGCCAAGGAAUGGGUGGAGUUAACAUCGGCUAUGGACCUAUGGCUGUAGGCCCCAGGUGGUUGGCUUAUGCCUCCAACAACUCACUGCUGUCAAACACAGACCGCCUCAGUCCACAAAGUCUUACUCCUCAAGGGGUUAGCCCAUCAACAUCACCUGGAAGUGGAAGUUUAGUGGCUCGUUAUGCCAUGGAAUCUAGUAAGCAGUUAGCUGCUGGAUUAAUCAAUUUGGGUGAUAUGGGCUACAAAACUUUGUCAAAAUAUUGUCAAGAGCUUAUACCUGAUGGGUCUAAUUCUCCUGUAUCAUCAAAUUCGAGUUGGAAAGUUGGUCGGAUUGCCUCACAUAUGGCAGAAACAGAUAAUGCUGGGAUUGUUGUUGUCAAAGAUUUUGGUUCCAGAGCUGUUGUAUCACAGUUUAGGGCCCAUACUACUCCAAUUUCUGCAUUGUGUUUUGACCCUAGUGGGACACUUCUAGUUACUGCUUCAAUACAUGGGAACAAUAUAAACAUUUUCCGGAUAAUGCCGUCUUCCUCACAUAAUGGAUCGUUCACUCAACCACAUGAUUCGGGCUCUUUUUAUGUGCACCUCUAUAAGCUCCACCGUGGCAUGACAUCAGCUGUGAUACAAGACAUCUGUUUUAGUCAUUAUAGUCAGUGGGUUGCUAUUGUUUCUUCCAGGGGCACCUGCCAUAUUUUUGCUCUUUCCCCUUUUGGUGGUGAGACUGUUCUCAAAAUACAGAACUCUCAUGUUGAUGGUCCUACCCUUUUGCCAGUUACAUCUCUACCAUGGUGGUCCACUCCAUCUUUCAUGAUAAACCAACAAUGUUUUUCUCACUUGCCACCACCACCGCCAGUUAUUCUCUCUGUGGUUAGCAGAAUAAAAAAUAGUCAAUCUGGGUGGCUCAACCAAGUUAGUAAUGUGGCAUCUUCUGCAGCAGGAAAGGUCUCCAUUCCAUCUGGUGCAAUUGCUGCUGUUUUUCAUAAUUCAGUGCCUCACGAUAUGUUACCUGCUCAUCUGAAAGGCAAUGCUUUGGAGAACCUAUUGGUUUAUACCCCUUGUGGGCACACAAUUCAAUAUGAACUGUUUCCAUCAAUGGGAGGAGAAUCAAAUGGGGCUGCUUCUAUAGCUGGUCCAGGUUCUUCAUUGCAGAUACAAGAUGAGAAGCUGCGAGUAAAAGUUGAACCUGUUCGAUGGUGGGAUGUUUGCAGAAGUGAUUGGCCAGAAAGAGAGGAAUACAUUUCUGGGAUUACUCUUGGCAGACAAGAAACUGCAGAGAUGGUCAUGGAUACUUCCGACUGUGAGGAUAAUUAUACUGGAAAUAAGGAGUUAGUAAAGCCCGUUGAACGAUCUCACUUAUAUAUAUCCAAUGCAGAGGUGCAGAUUAGCUCUGGCAGGAUACCAAUCUGGCAAAACUCUAAGAUAUCCUUCCAGAGGAUUAGCUUUGGAACUAAUGACCUGAAUUUUACUGAGAGUCAUACCCGUGGAGAGAUUGAAAUAGAGAAGCUUCCCGUUCAUGAGAUUGAAAUAAGACGGAGGGAUUUAUUGCCUGUUAUUGACCAUUUCCUGAGGAUUCAGUCCAAUUGGAGUGACAGGAGCCUUGUUGGGGUAAGAUGCUCGAGUCCAUCUUUUGAUUCUCAUGCGACUAAAGAUAAGUUCUCAGAAGAUCCUAUUGUUUGCCACUCUGAGUUGGCAUCACUUGGCGCAGUUGAAAACUCAGAUGGAUUAUCUGGGGAAUCGUAUACAUCCAUUACCCUACCUGGGAACAAUACAAAUGUGGAGAAAGAAGAGAGAUCUGUUUUCUCAUCGCCUCUGCCAAAUAAAAGUUUUAUUAACACAGAAAGUAUACUAGUUUCUGCCAUACAACCUACAACUAGGGUUUCUAUGGUUCAGGAUAUUGAUUUCACUAAUUGUCUAUCCUCUUUAACAAGUAACUCACUUGCUGAUAGAACCAUUGCCAAAGAAAUCGAGUCAUCAAAUAGUGGGGGGGUCAGUGAAGCUUCAAAUAUAAGCUCCAACCGCUCUGAUUUGAGUAUGAAUAUUCUUGAUGAGGGAUUAGUACAUGACUCUCUAGACUUUGAUCAAUAUUUUCUAGAGGGGUAUUGUAAAGCAUCACCUUCGUGUGACUCCCAUGAUUCAGCUGAAGUUGUCACUGAUGUGGACAGCAACAGUAGUCCCUGUGAUGGGGAGAAAUCCGAGGAAGUUGGUGAAAAUGAUGACAUGCUUAGUGGUAUAUUUGCCUUCUCAGAGGAAGGUUGAUGUGAACCUUCUGGUGUCUGAUGCCACCUUCUCUUGCUUUCAGAAUGUUUGUGUAAUGAUUGGUCAAAGCUCAGCCUAAUGCAGGAUGAGAUUCUAAUGGACAAAAUGCAGUUUAUUUCCUUCCGACAAUUGAAUAGCUACUGACUAAUAGAUACAAGUGGGAUGGCGUGGCGGGAAGUUUACUAUUCUUGAGCUUCUUGUCAAUAAAAUGAUACUUCUACCCUGGUCCAAGCUAAAAGAAAUGAUACUCUUACCCUGGGAAGUCAUCCAAUCAAGUGCUGCACCCAAUCAAACAACGACAGCAACACAAACAAGAAGAAAAACAAAGAGGACCAGGUAUUUCAUAAAGAUUCAUCUUGAUAAGAUCGAAAGCAUAGGCGUGAAAUGCAAAGGGAUAAGGGAUAAAAAGCGGGGCAGGACUGACAGAUAAGUGGGGAAAAAAACUAGAUAGGAUCAUUCAUGAACAACAUCGAUCGCGUCUUCUCUUUUAUAAUAGAAACUUAAUCGACUUUGUUGAAAUCUGUGAUGUUGAUUUAGUGUGUUUAGCAACUUUUAAUCUUUUAGAAAGAGAUGUUUAUUUUCUUUCCCCCGCUUUUAUUGCCUUCUUGUAGUACUUGUUUCACGAUUAUCUUUUAGAAUAGACAAAAGUCUACCUAAAGAUCAUCUCAGUGAUAUAUAUAUAUAUAUAUAUAUAUAUAUAUAUAUAUAUAGAUGUAACUUGUCUUCAACUUCAAGUCAGUUCCACACAUCUCAAAAUGAGCUUUGCCUGAUCUUUUGUGAAAUAUGGCUGCAUAUAUGGUACUAACUUCUUCUGAGCAUUGAAAUGAUCUGAAUUAAGUUUCCAAGUGAUGAAUCAAACAUGCAUGAAUAAAUUAUAUAUAUAUGUUUGUACUGUAGAAGGAUAUAUGCCCAACCAUUUUAUCACCAUUCUCCGUCAGAAACAUGGCAUCAUCAGACGAAAAAGUAAAACUAAGCUAAUAUUUGAUCGAUGUAUAUAUCAAAAAGAGGCUGAAAAUUUGUUUCCACCGAAAUGGCCGGACAAGCGCGCAAGGACGUCUCACAAGGGAGUGGAAAGGGAAGACUUCGAAAAAGCCAUGCCAGUACGUACCCUAUAAAGAGUUAGCACCUUGGAAGACAACAAAACUAGUUGGAGAAAUUGAAAUAACAGAGAGAAAGAGAGCAAUAAUUGAUCACAUGAAAAGAAAGGAAACACACCUAGACGUUGUGCUAGCUAAUUUGAAUGAUAGUUACACCUUGUCCUUUUUGUGUUAUAUAUAUAUAUAUAAAUAUAUAUUUAUAUAUGAUCACUAAAUUACUAAAAUUGUCUUCAAUCCUGCACUUGAAUGAUAGUAAAUUAUAACCUAAUUAUUACCUCAUCAAGAUUUGAUUCAUGUAAAGAAGUAAGAUAAACGAAAAAUUAGACGACUGUCAUGUACAAUCUUAUAAGGAGUUGGCCGCCGGAUCUUAAAAGAACAUAAAAAAUGGAAUGAGAGGUGGUUUAGAGGCCGUAAAAUGACAAUUAACUUUGAUAAUUUAGUGAUUAUAUUACAAAAGAAUUGAUAGCUUGAGACCAUAAAAUUUAUUUUUUUAGAUGUUUUUUCUGAUAUUGUACAAUAUCCGGAAAAACGGAAAGAGGGCAUGGAUUGGUAUAUAUAUGAGUUUUAACGUGAGAUCUUUAAUUUGAAAAUAAAAGUUAUAAAACUACAUGUCUCAAUUUUGUGAAAGAACCCGACAGACAAACAAGGGCUAUAAUUUCCUCAUGCCCGGAGUCUCGUAGAACAGUACUUGAAAAAGAAUUAAAGAAAACAGAAAUACAAGCGAAAAGAGUGCGACUUUAUUUGCUGUAUGCAUAUAUAUUUAGCACCAGAUCGAGGCAGGAAUCUCAUGAGAGUUUUUCUCCGGAAAGAGUUUCACUUCUUACAUCUCUCUCAGGGUUUUACUCUUUUCAAGGGGAAAAAACAUUGAAAGAAUGACGAAAUGAAUCUUUAAGAUCUGGAAGUGAUUGGA
Molecule: RNA transcript, 5223 nt
Organism: Carya illinoinensis
Lineage: Eukaryota; Viridiplantae; Streptophyta; Magnoliopsida; Fagales; Juglandaceae
Gene name: autophagy-related protein 18h-like
Exons: 11
Source: RefSeq, a predicted model, not a curated record